RNAcentral lists this unclassified non-coding RNA (253 nucleotides) under uncultured Caryophanales bacterium. RNAcentral's name for it is "uncultured Bacillales bacterium contains 16S-23S intergenic spacer region". It matches the Rfam family "Bacterial small subunit ribosomal RNA", at positions 524 to 776 of the family's 1533-position model. Lineage: Bacteria; Bacillati; Bacillota; Bacilli; Caryophanales. The record is from RNAcentral.
UACGUAGGUGGCAAGCGUUGACCGGAAUUAUUGGGCGUAAAGCGCGCGCAGGCGGUCUCUUAAGUCUGAUGUGAAAUCCCCCGGCUCAACCGGGGAGGGCCAUUGGAAACUGGGAGGCUUGAGUCUAGGAGAGAAGAGUAGAAUUCCACGUGUAGCGGUGAAAUGCGUAGAGAUGUGGAGGAACACCAGUGGCGAAGGCGACCCCUUGGACUAUAACUGACGCUGAGGCGCGAAAGCGUGGGGAGCAAACAGG